AAUUUUUCCAUUCUUGACAUCUAUGACUGCUCCAGCUGAUGCUAAGAAUGGUCUCCCUAGGAUCAGGGGAUCCUUGCCUUCUUCAUCUACGUCCAAUACCAUAAAAUCUGUAGGUAUCUCAACAUUU
RNAcentral lists this small RNA (127 nucleotides) under Arabidopsis thaliana (thale cress). Its description in RNAcentral is "ATSL094340". Lineage: Eukaryota; Viridiplantae; Streptophyta; Magnoliopsida; Brassicales; Brassicaceae. The record is from RNAcentral.